AGCUCCAAUAGCGUAUACUAAAGUUGUUGCAGUUAAAAAGCUCGUAGUUGGAUUUCUGCUCUGAGAAGGACGUCCGGGCGCUCAGCGUUGCGGUACAGUCCGUCUUGAGCAUCUUGCCAGAAACCCCGGCCUCAUUAACUUGGGGACGUUUGGGUGAAUGGCUCGUUUACUUUGAGAAAAAUAGAGUGUUCAAAGCAGGCAAAUGCCUUGAAUAAGUUAGCAUGGAAUAAUGAUAAAGAACUUCGGUUUUAUUUUGUUGGUGUUCUGAACUGAAGUAAUGAUUGAUAGGGACAGUUGGGGGCAUCAGUAUUCUGAAGCGAGAGGUGAAAUUCUGAAACCUUUGGAAGACUAACUGCUGCGAAAGCGUUUGCCAAGGAUGUUCCC
RNAcentral lists this ribosomal RNA (384 nucleotides) under uncultured eukaryote. Its description in RNAcentral is "SSU rRNA". It matches the Rfam family "Eukaryotic small subunit ribosomal RNA", at positions 587 to 971 of the family's 1831-position model. The record is from RNAcentral.